GACGAACGCUGGCGGCGUGCUUAACACAUGCAAGUCGAGCGGAAAGGCCACUUCGGUGGUACUCGAGCGGCGAACGGGUGAGUAACACGUGAGUAAUCUGCCCCUCACUUUGGGAUAGCCACCGGAAACGGUGAUUAAUACCGGAUAUGACCAUAUGUCGCAUGGCGUGUGGUGGAAAGUUUUUCGGUGAGGGAUGUGCUCGCGGCCUAUCAGCUUGAUGGUGAGGUAAUGGCUCACCAUGGCUUCGACGGGUAGCCGGCCUGAGAGGGUGACCGGGCACACUGGUACUGAGACACGGCCCAGACGCCUACGGGAGGCAGCAGGGGGGAAUAUUGGACAAUGGGCGGAAGCCUGAUCCAGCAACGCCGCGUGAGGGAUGACGGCCUUCGGGUUGUAAACCUCUUUCAGUACCGACGAAGCGCAAGUGACGGUAGGUACAGAAGAAGCACCGGCCAACUACGUG
Molecule: ribosomal RNA, 463 nt
Filed under: uncultured bacterium
Lineage: Bacteria
Description: partial 16S ribosomal RNA
Rfam family: Bacterial small subunit ribosomal RNA
Source: RNAcentral